Molecule: long non-coding RNA, 509 nt
Organism: Canis lupus familiaris (dog)
Lineage: Eukaryota; Metazoa; Chordata; Mammalia; Carnivora; Canidae
Exons: 3
Source: RefSeq, a predicted model, not a curated record
CUCAAAUGGAACCAGGCAUCCUGUCUUUUAUCUGGCAAGAUACUCUGGGGACUCUCCAGGAGAACUUGACUUUGUUGGGAGAGGAGAGCAGUUGAUAAACGUUGGUUGACGAUUGUGUUCAAUCUCAGGGAAAGAGGAGAGAGGCUGGCUCAGAAAGACUUUCCUCUGGUCUCUCUCAAGCUUAAAGUUUUGAGGAAGAAGAGUCCAAACUCCAGAGGAGUUAAGUCUUGAUCUCUCUAAAAAGAAAUGCAAAUUGCAACCUGAGUGAAGAUAAAUAGACUUGGGUGAUGAGCAUUUGCCCGAGUUGGGGGGAAGGAGGAAGGAGGCUGCUGGCUCUCCUUGCCCUGCUGUGAUGACUGUAUCCGGUGGUGCAGCUGGGGUCUACACAAGGUUGGAAUUCCUUUUCUGCUAUUAACCAGUGAUAAACUCCUACUCAUCCAUCAAGACCAAGCUGAAUAUAUGAUCUGUAUAUGCAAACGUUCCAUAGGGUCUUGGAAUGAAGGAAUAUU